Molecule: ribosomal RNA, 1264 nt
Filed under: marine metagenome
Description: bacterial SSU rRNA
Rfam family: Bacterial small subunit ribosomal RNA
Source: RNAcentral
AGAGUUUGAUCAUGGCUCAGAUUGAACGCUGGCGGCAGGCUUAACACAUGCAAGUCGAGCGGGGAGAUGUAGCUUGCUACAUUUCCUAGCGGCGGACGGGUGAGUAAUGCUUAGGAAUCUGCCUAUUAGUGGGGGACAACAUUCCGAAAGGAAUGCUAAUACCGCAUACGUCCUACGGGAGAAAGCAGGGGAUCUUCGGACCUUGCGCUAAUAGAUGAGCCUAAGUCAGAUUAGCUAGUUGGUGGGGUAAAGGCCUACCAAGGCGACGAUCUGUAGCGGGUCUGAGAGGAUGAUCCGCCACACUGGGACUGAGACACGGCCCAGACUCCUACGGGAGGCAGCAGUGGGGAAUAUUGGACAAUGGGCGAAAGCCUGAUCCAGCCAUGCCGCGUGUGUGAAGAAGGCCUUUUGGUUGUAAAGCACUUUAAGCGAGGAGGAGGCUACUUGGAUUAAUACUCUAGGAUAGUGGACGUUACUCGCAGAAUAAGCACCGGCUAACUCUGUGCCAGCAGCCGCGGUAAUACAGAGGGUGCGAGCGUUAAUCGGAUUUACUGGGCGUAAAGCGUGCGUAGGCGGCUUUUUAAGUCGGAUGUGAAAUCCCUGAGCUUAACUUAGGAAUUGCAUUCGAUACUGGGAAGCUAGAGUAUGGGAGAGGAUGGUAGAAUUCCAGGUGUAGCGGUGAAAUGCGUAGAGAUCUGGAGGAAUACCGAUGGCGAAGGCAGCCAUCUGGCCUAAUACUGACGCUGAGGUACGAAAGCAUGGGGAGCAAACAGGAUUAGAUACCCUGGUAGUCCAUGCCGUAAACGAUGUCUACUAGCCGUUGGGGCCUUUGAGGCUUUAGUGGCGCAGCUAACGCGAUAAGUAGACCGCCUGGGGAGUACGGUCGCAAGACUAAAACUCAAAUGAAUUGACGGGGGCCCGCACAAGCGGUGGAGCAUGUGGUUUAAUUCGAUGCAACGCGAAGAACCUUACCUGGUCUUGACAUAGUAAGAACUUUCCAGAGAUGGAUUGGUGCCUUCGGGAACUUACAUACAGGUGCUGCAUGGCUGUCGUCAGCUCGUGUCGUGAGAUGUUGGGUUAAGUCCCGCAACGAGCGCAACCCUUUUCCUUAUUUGCCAGCGGGUUAAGCCGGGAACUUUAAGGAUACUGCCAGUGACAAACUGGAGGAAGGCGGGGACGACGUCAAGUCAUCAUGGCCCUUACGACCAGGGCUACACACGUGCUACAAUGGUCGGUACAAAGGGUUGCUACCUAGCGAUAGGAU